RNAcentral lists this ribosomal RNA (588 nucleotides) under Polynucleobacter sp. 17-46-58. Its description in RNAcentral is "bacterial SSU rRNA". It matches the Rfam family "Bacterial small subunit ribosomal RNA", at positions 1 to 580 of the family's 1533-position model. Lineage: Bacteria; Pseudomonadati; Pseudomonadota; Betaproteobacteria; Burkholderiales; Burkholderiaceae. The record is from RNAcentral.
AUUGAACUGAAGAGUUUGAUCCUGGCUCAGAUUGAACGCUGGCGGCAUGCCUUACACAUGCAAGUCGAACGGCAGCACGGGUGCUUGCACCUGGUGGCGAGUGGCGAACGGGUGAGUAAUACAUCGGAACGUACCUUAUCGUGGGGGAUAACGCAGCGAAAGCUGUGCUAAUACCGCAUACGCCCUGAGGGGGAAAGCGGGGGAUCGAAAGACCUCGCGCGAUUAGAGCGGCCGAUGCCUGAUUAGCUUGUUGGUGGGGUAAAAGCCCACCAAGGCGACGAUCAGUAGCUGGUCUGAGAGGACGAUCAGCCACACUGGGACUGAGACACGGCCCAGACUCCUACGGGAGGCAGCAGUGGGGAAUUUUGGACAAUGGGGGAAACCCUGAUCCAGCAAUGCCGCGUGAGUGAAGAAGGCCUUCGGGUUGUAAAGCUCUUUUGUCAGGGAAGAAACACCGGCUCUAACACAGUCCGGGAAUGACGGUACCUGAAGAAUAAGCACCGGCUAACUACGUGCCAGCAGCCGCGGUAAUACGUAGGGUGCGAGCGUUAAUCGGAAUUACUGGGCGUAAAGCGUGCGCAGGCGGUU